UAUUGCACAAUGGGCGCAAGCCUGAUGCAGCAACGCCGCGUGAGCGAAGAAGGUCUUCGGAUNGUACAGCUCUGUCCUGGAGGAANNCGNNNGNGACGGUACUCAAGGAGGAAGCCCCGGCUAACUACGUNNNAGCCGCCGCGGUAAUACGUAGGGGGCAAGCGUUAUCCGGAAGUAUUGGGCGUAAAGAGUACGCAGGUGGUUUUGUAAGCGCGGGGUGAAAGGCAGUGGCUUAACCAUUGUAAGCCUUGCGAACUGCAAGACUUGAGUGCAGGAGAGGAAAGCGGAAUUCCUAGUGUAGCGGUGAAAUGCUUAGAUAUUAGGAGGAACACCAGUGGCGAAGGCGGCUUUCUGGACUGUAACUGACACUGAGGUACGAAAGCGUGGGGAGCAAA
Molecule: ribosomal RNA, 395 nt
Filed under: uncultured bacterium
Lineage: Bacteria
Description: partial 16S ribosomal RNA
Rfam family: Bacterial small subunit ribosomal RNA
Source: RNAcentral